This 253-nucleotide ribosomal RNA is filed under the name uncultured bacterium. RNAcentral describes it as "partial 16S ribosomal RNA". It matches the Rfam family "Bacterial small subunit ribosomal RNA", at positions 524 to 776 of the family's 1533-position model. The record is from RNAcentral.
UACGUAGGUGGCAAGCGUUGUCCGGAAUUACUGGGCGUAAAGGGCGCGUAGGCGGGUAUUUAAGUCAGAUGUGAAAGAUCCGGGCUCAACCCGGGGACUGCAUCUGAUACUGGAUAUCUUGAGUGCAGGAGAGGACAGUGGAAUUCCUAGUGUAGCGGUGAAAUGCGUAGAUAUUAGGAGGAACACCAGUGGCGAAGGCGGCUGUCUGGACUGUAACUGACGCUGAGGCGCGAAAGCGUGGGGAGCAAACAGG